CUGGUCUCAAGAAAGGGAGACACCUCUGUCUUUGUGCAACUUGAGACUGAAGAUCCUGCAAGAUACCAUGCCAUGGGUAUCUGAUCGGCAGCUGGAAAUCAGGUCCUGGGAUGCAGAGAGGUCAAAGCCAGAUCACAACUCAGAGUUAGUGGCUGAAGGCUUGGGGAUGGAUGAGAUUAUCCAGAAUAUCCUCUGUUGCAAGAGAGGGCAGAGGAAGAUUUAGGCUAACAUUUGCAGUAAUGAGACAAGCUGAGCUUGUAGAGGAACAUUACAUACUGAGUGGAAAUCAGGAAGGUUUAGAAGGUGCUCCCCUCAAGCUAGAAAAGGCCAAGGAAGAUGAAGAUAGCUUUGAAAGGGAAGUCUGUUCAGUGGGAUCAGAGGGAUGUGGUUCAAACUCUAGCUCAGCCACUGGACAGAUGGGUUGCUGCCUCCUCAUCUGUAAGAGAGGUAACUGUUUGCUUUACUAGGUAGUCAUGGGGACCAUGUGAGAUGAAAUGUGUAAAUGUUCAGUGCAUUACUAUUCUACUCAGCACUCAGCUGUUGGUGGGUAUUAUUAUUAUUAUUUUCCUAGGAUGCCAGGAUUUGAGAGCAGAGAGGGAAGGGCCGGGGAAAGAAUAGAUAGGACUUUUGGAAUGAGAUGCCAAUAAGAAUUUUGGUGCAGAAUGUAUAUUUUUCUGCCUGGCCUCCUUCCCAGACACUGGGAGGAUUUGGCUGAAGGAGCAGGAUCACAGUGCCAGGUACUGCGGAGGAUAAGGGGUACUGGACAGCAGGCACUGCAACUCUGUCUUUGCUCACAGUGCCCAGGAAGCAACCUGUGCCACCUUUCUCUGGCACCUAGGAGCUGGGGGCUGCAGCUAAGACCAUCUCAGGUCUGGUGGCUGCUAUUGGGAAAGCUUGGGACCGACGGAGUAAGUGAGUAUCUAUAAAGCCAUGUGGGUGAACUGUGCAGUAAAACUUGUGCUUAGGAAGGCAGUAUACACAGGAAAGAGCCUUGCUGCAGGAGGAAUGGAGGAGUAGGAGCUGGCCUCUCCAACAGGAGGCGGAGGAUGCAGUCCUGGUUGAUCCCUAAGCAGUGGAGUUAGCAAC
RNAcentral lists this long non-coding RNA (1086 nucleotides) under Fukomys damarensis (Damara mole-rat). RNAcentral describes it as "lncRNA (ENSFDAG00000033088.1)". The record is from RNAcentral. Lineage: Eukaryota; Metazoa; Chordata; Mammalia; Rodentia; Bathyergidae.